AGGGAAUGGAUAAUCUAUAUCAUAAAUUUUUAUAAUAACGCGAUCGAAUUUAUUGAUUUAAUGAAAUCAUUUUACGAAGGAAUUCAUCUGUUCGAAGAAUUGUUUGGAUUUACAUAUAUUCUGCUAGAUUAUUUUUACUUAUUUCAGAUCAUUUCUCUAACUCCU
Long non-coding RNA from Vespa velutina, 165 nucleotides. RefSeq lists it as uncharacterized. The transcript is spliced from 3 exons. The record is from RefSeq and is a predicted model, not a curated record. Lineage: Eukaryota; Metazoa; Arthropoda; Insecta; Hymenoptera; Vespidae.